ACCUGGUUGAUCCUGCCAGUAGUCAUAUACUUGUCUCAAAGAUUAAGCCAUGCAUGUGUAAGUAUGAACAAAUUCAGACUGUGAAACUGUGAAUGGCUCAUUAAAUCAGUUAUGAUUCAUGAUAACUCGACGGAUCGCAUGGCCAUCGUGUCGGCGACGCAUUAUUCAAAUUUUUGUCCUAUAAAGUUUCGAUGGUAGUAUAAUGGCCUACCAUGGUGGUGACGGGUUAUGGAGAAUUAGGGUUUGAUUUUGGAGAGGGAGCCUGAGAAACAGCUACCACAUCCAAGGAAGGCAGCAGGUGUGCAAAUUACCCAAUCCUGACACGGGGAAGUAGUGAUAAUAAAUAACAAUACCGGGCUCAAUGAGUCUGGUAAUUGGAAUGAGUACAAUCUAAAUCCCUUAACGAGGAUCCAUUGGAGGGUGAGUCUGGUGCCAGCAGUCGCGGUAAUUCCAGCACCAAUAGCGUAUAUUUAAGUUAUUGCAGUUAAAAAGCUCAAAGUUGGACUUUGGGAUUGGCCGGCCGGUCCGCCUAUGGUAUGCAUUGGUCGUCUCGUCCCUUCUGUCGGCGAUGCGUUCCUGGCCUUAAUUGGAUGGUUCGUUCCUCCGGCGCUGUUACUUUGAUGAAAUUAAAGUGCUUAAAGCAAGCCAACGCUCUGUAUGCAUUAGCAUGGGAUAACAUUAUAGGAUUUCGGUCCUAUUACGUUGGCCUUCGGGAUCAGAGUAAUGAUUAACAGGGAAAGUCGGGGGAUUUCGUAUUUCAUAGUCAGAGGUGAAAUUAUUGGAUUUAUGAAAUACGAACAAUUGCGAAAGCAUUGUUCAAGGAUGUUUUCAUUAAUCAAGAAUGGAAGUUGGGGGCUCGAAGGCAGUCAAAUACCAUCCUAGUCUCAACCAUAAAUGAUGCCGAUCGGGAAUCGGUGGAUAUUGCUUUUAGGACUCUGCCGGCACCUUAUGAGAAAUCAAAGUUUUUGGGUUUCGGGGGGAGUAUGGUCACAAGGCUGAAACAUAAAGAAAUUGACGGAUGGGCACCACCAGGAGUGGAGCCUGCGGCUUAAUUUGACUCAACACGGGGAAAAUUACCUGGUCCAGACAUAGUAAGGAUUGACAGACUAAGAGCUCUUUCUUGAUUCUAUGGGUGGUGGUGCAUGGCCGUUCUUAGUUGGUAGAGCGAUUUUUCUGGUUAAUUUCUUUAACGAAUGAGACCUCAGCCUGCUAACUAGCUAUGCGGAGGUAUCCCUUCGCUGCCAGCUUCUUAGAGGGACUACGGCCUUUUAGGUCAUAGAUGUUUGAGGCAAUAAUAGGUCUAUGAUGCCCUUAGAUGUUCUGGGUUGCACGCACACUACACUGAUGUAUUCAACGAGUUUAUAGCCUUGGCCGACAGGCCUGGUUAAUCUUUGAAAUUUCAUCGUGAUGGGGAUAGAUCAUUGCAAUUUUUGGUCUUCAACGAGGAAUUCCUAGUAAGCGUGAGUCAUCAGCUUGCAUUGACUACGUCCUUGCCCUUUGUACACACCGCCCGUCGCUCCUGCCGAUUGAAUGAUCCGGUGAAAUUUUUGAAUCGCGGCGACGUGGGCGGUUCACUGCCUGUGACAUCGUGAGAAGUCCAUUGAACCUUAUCAUUUAGAGGAAAGAAAAUUCGUAACAAGGUUUGCGUAGGUGAACCUGCAGAAA
This 1665-nucleotide ribosomal RNA is filed under the name Capsicum baccatum. RNAcentral describes it as "bacterial SSU rRNA". It matches the Rfam family "Eukaryotic small subunit ribosomal RNA". The record is from RNAcentral. Lineage: Eukaryota; Viridiplantae; Streptophyta; Magnoliopsida; Solanales; Solanaceae.